AAUUUUCAGGGCAGAACACAAAAGUCCAUUUAACUCACAAGUCCUGUUGAUUAUAAUCCUGGCCAUCAAAUCAGUUUUUACAGUUGAAAAGUGCUAUGCAAGAGUUGGAGAAAAGAUCAAUACCCAACUGUGGCCCAGGUGAGGGGAGUAGAAUGGAGUAAUUGCAGCUGAAGGUUAACUUUGGACACAUUUCCUGGUGAAAGGUUCCCUGUUACUUUAUCAUGGCCAGAAGCAGAUGUCUCAAAUAACUGGUUUUUAAAAGGUAC
Myotis brandtii (Brandt's bat) is the source of this 266-nucleotide long non-coding RNA. RefSeq lists it as uncharacterized. The transcript has 3 exons. Lineage: Eukaryota; Metazoa; Chordata; Mammalia; Chiroptera; Vespertilionidae. The record is from RefSeq and is a predicted model, not a curated record.